GCAGGCUCAGCUGAGAGAGAGGAAAGCCGCACUUGAAACCUCCCGGGCUGAUGCUUACAAGUCCAGGGUUAAGUAUACAGUACGCUAUUAACGGUCCCACCACCUCUACUCUGUGUGUUUCUCUGCACAGGCCCGGUGCACCCAAGAUGUGAUCUUCCCAGAUGUCCUUCACUCCGUCGCAGGGACACCAGAGACCCUGGGUGCAUCCACAGCGGAGGACGAAAGCCAGGCCCCGGGCGACGACUUCUCCACCCUCCGGUCUUUGAGAUCUCCACCCAGAACUGCACUGGCAGCGAAGGAAUCCUAGGCUUUUUCAACGCUGAUGGCCUGCACCCCAGGAGAGUCGGAGCAGAACUCCUGCCGAAGAACAUCUCCAGGAUGCUUCACAAUAUAAUAUGACUAGUAAACCAGUUCUUGAACUGCUAUGAUGGCUUAUGUUCUACCCACAUAAAUGAUAGAAGCACUUGCACUGUCCAAUCCAUUAA
This is a long non-coding RNA of Carassius auratus (goldfish), 485 nucleotides long. RefSeq lists it as uncharacterized. NCBI's taxonomy places the organism in Eukaryota, Metazoa, Chordata, Actinopteri, Cypriniformes, Cyprinidae. The record is from RefSeq and is a predicted model, not a curated record. The transcript has 2 exons.